UUGCUUCCCGCUGACGAGCGGCGGACGGGUGAGUAAUGCUUAGGAAUCUGCCCAGUAGUGGGGGAUAGCCCGGGGAAACCCGGAUUAAUACCGCAUACGUCCUACGGGAGAAAGCAGGGGAUCUUCGGACCUUGCGCUAUUGGAUGAGCCUAAGUCGGAUUAGCUAGUUGGUGGGGUAAAGGCCUACCAAGGCGACGAUCCGUAGCUGGUCUGAGAGGAUGAUCAGCCACAUCGGGACUGAGACACGGCCCGAACUCCUACGGGAGGCAGCAGUGGGGAAUAUUGGACAAUGGGGGCAACCCUGAUCCAGCCAUGCCGCGUGUGUGAAGAAGGCUUUCGGGUUGUAAAGCACUUUCAGUAGGGAGGAAAACCUUAUGGUUAAUACCCAUGAGGCUUGACGUUACCUACAGAAGAAGCACCGGCUAACUCCGUGCCAGCAGCCGCGGUAAUACGGAGGGUGCAAGCGUUAAUCGGAAUUACUGGGCGUAAAGCGCGCGUAGGUGGUUUGGUAAGCGAGAUGUGAAAGCCCCGGGCUUAACCUGGGAACGGCAUUUCGAACUGUCAGACUAGAGUGUGGUAGAGGGUA
RNAcentral lists this ribosomal RNA (586 nucleotides) under Marinobacter nauticus. Its description in RNAcentral is "bacterial SSU rRNA". It matches the Rfam family "Bacterial small subunit ribosomal RNA", at positions 78 to 660 of the family's 1533-position model. The record is from RNAcentral. Lineage: Bacteria; Pseudomonadati; Pseudomonadota; Gammaproteobacteria; Pseudomonadales; Marinobacteraceae.